RNA transcript from Arvicola amphibius (Eurasian water vole), 2295 nucleotides. It is a transcript of the gene named small nuclear ribonucleoprotein polypeptide A, with no coding region annotated. The record is from RefSeq and is a predicted model, not a curated record. NCBI's taxonomy places the organism in Eukaryota, Metazoa, Chordata, Mammalia, Rodentia, Cricetidae. The transcript has 8 exons.
GGAUUCGUAGUUACCUUCUAGAUUCCCCUAGCACGCGGGCUGGAGAAGCGGAGUCCUACGCUGGCUUUGUUGCCAAGCUGUGCCCUUAUUCCCCCCCCUCCCCCAUUCCGAGCUUACCCAGUUUACUCUUGGAAGGAUCCCAGAACUCUGAUCAGAGCCCAUCAGGCCUUUAGAAUCAAGAAUUUUGGGAAACGUAGGGCUGAAGUCGCCUCUUUUUCUCCCUUUAAGCUGUGAGCAUCUCACACCAUGGCAGUUCCUGAGACCCGUCCCAACCACACUAUUUAUAUCAACAAUCUCAAUGAGAAGAUCAAGAAGGAUGAGCUCAAGAAGUCCCUGUAUGCCAUCUUCUCCCAGUUUGGCCAGAUCCUGGAUAUUCUGGUGUCUCGGAGCCUGAAGAUGAGGGGCCAGGCCUUUGUCAUCUUCAAGGAGGUCAGCAGUGCCACUAAUGCCCUGCGUUCCAUGCAGGGGUUCCCCUUCUACGACAAGCCCAUGCGCAUCCAGUAUGCUAAGACUGACUCGGACAUCAUUGCCAAGAUGAAGGGCACCUUUGUGGAGAGGGACCGCAAACGAGAAAAGAGGAAGCCCAAAAGUCAGGAGACACCAGCUGCCAAAAAAGCUGUUCAGGGUGGGGCAGCUGCCCCCGUGGUGGGCGCUGUUCAGCCUGUACCGGGUAUGCCACCGAUGACUCAGGCUCCCCGCAUCAUGCACCACAUGCCAGGUCAGCCUCCUUACAUGCCACCACCUGGCAUGAUCCCGCCACCGGGCCUUGCUCCUGGCCAGAUCCCGCCUGGGGCCAUGCCCCCGCAGCAGCUCAUGCCUGGACAGAUGCCGCCUGCCCAGCCUCUCUCCGAGAAUCCACCCAAUCACAUCCUGUUCCUAACCAACCUGCCUGAGGAGACCAACGAGCUCAUGCUGUCCAUGCUUUUCAACCAGUUCCCUGGUUUCAAGGAGGUGCGUCUGGUCCCCGGGCGGCAUGACAUUGCCUUUGUGGAGUUUGACAACGAAGUGCAGGCUGGGGCAGCACGAGAUGCCCUGCAAGGCUUUAAGAUCACGCAGAACAAUGCCAUGAAGAUCUCUUUUGCCAAGAAGUAGCGCCUUCCCCCAUGGGGCGUCCCGGUCCCCAUUCUGGGGCUGCCCCUUACCCCCCACCCCCUUGGCUCAGUCCCUGAAGGGCCCAGCGGGGCUGAUCGUGACAUGCCCAAGCUGGCUGAGUGGAAGCUGUGUGCGGAUGAGGAAUGCAGCCGUAAGAGUCAGGGAAGAAGGGCAAGGGGCUGAGGGCUUGGACUGCUGGUCUGUGUUGAUGUUGCUGUCAUUCCCGUCUCCUUCUCCAGAUCCUAUCUCCAUGGCUGUGGCCCUUCAGGACUACGUGGCUCCUGAUUGCCGCUUCUUGAAUGUGUACAGGGGCCAAGUGGUGUAUGUCUUCUCCAAGCUGAAGGGCCGUGGACGGCUCUUCUGGGGAGGCAGUGUGAGUCUUCAGUAUUAGAGGGAAGGGUAUGGAGUACCCUGUUUUCCCUCUGAAGGGAAAAUUUGGGUGAGGGGGGGCACAGAUUUGGGGGGUAAGGAUAUUUUAUCACUUAUUGCAUUUUUACUUUAGCAAUUACAGGGCAGCUUGGUUCCAAGCUCUUUUCCAGACCUCAGCUAUAUCAGUGAACAACCCCUUUCAUUUCUAAUGGGUGGAGACAGGCAACCAGCUUACCAUCAGAAGUGCCAGCAAACAUGCCAUUGUGAGGAUUAGUUAUGGUGGCUACAUUCUGGCCACAAGCAAGUGACGUUAAGCUGAGGUUCAAAUGAGAGAUUGUGCACUGGAGUUCAGCAGGCACGAGUGCCCUUUUUUUCCCAGAUGGACUUACAAGUUCUUCUCCAGGUUCAGGGAGAUUACUAUGGAGAUGCGGCUGCCCGCCUGGGCUACUUCCCCAGUAGCAUUGUUCGGGAGGACCUGAUUCUGAAACCUGCCAAAAUUGAUAUGAAGACAGCUAGUGUGUACCCAGGCUGGCUUCAAAAUUACUAACCUUCAGCUCCAGCCUCCUGAGGGCUGCUUCGUUUUCAGGCAUGUGCAACUAGGCCCUGCUCAAUGCCGAGUGAUUUCUAAUUGGGAAAUGCAGAGGUUACAGGGCUGGAAGAUAAUUUAUUCAUUUCUGUGAGGUCAAACCUGGUCCUUUCACCGGUUUCCUAUCUACUGUUUUUUCCCUUUUCUCUUUUUCAGAAAUGGGAUUUCUACUGCCAGUGAGCUCAGCCUACUGUUGUCCCUGCGGUUUACCUUCCCAGCUUUAUACAAAUAGAACAGCCAACUGCAAA